This 425-nucleotide long non-coding RNA is filed under the name Homo sapiens (human). RNAcentral's name for it is "non-protein coding lnc-SLC6A12-7:5". The record is from RNAcentral. Lineage: Eukaryota; Metazoa; Chordata; Mammalia; Primates; Hominidae.
CAUGGUCGUUCUCCUGGGACUGGAUAGCCAGUUUGUGUGUGUAGAAAGCCUGGUGACAGCGCUGGUGGACAUGUACCCUCACGUGUUCCGCAAGAAGAACCGGAGGGAAGUCCUCAUCCUUGGAGUAUCUGUCGUCUCCUUCCUUGUGGGGCUGAUCAUGCUCACAGAGGAACGACAAAGUAGGCAGGUCCCUCCUCUGGCCUUUGGGCAUGGACCACCCACCUCCAGGGAUGGGUGAGGAGCCAUUUGGCUCCACAGUAAGUGAAGAGGGCGGAAUGUACGUGUUCCAGCUCUUUGACUACUAUGCGGCCAGUGGCAUGUGCCUCCUGUUCGUGGCCAUCUUCGAGUCCCUCUGUGUGGCUUGGGUUUACGGAGCCAAGCGCUUCUACGACAACAUCGAAGACAUGAUUGGGUACAGGCCAUGG